RNAcentral lists this ribosomal RNA (411 nucleotides) under Triticum aestivum (bread wheat). RNAcentral describes it as "partial small subunit ribosomal RNA". The record is from RNAcentral. Lineage: Eukaryota; Viridiplantae; Streptophyta; Magnoliopsida; Poales; Poaceae.
AUGAGCAUUAAGCUAAAUAAUGAGGUGGGACCUUAUUUCCAAAGCCACAAAGGGGUCCGUCAAGGUGACCCCCACUCUCCUUUCCUGUUCAAUCUAGCUGUUGAGACCCUCUCAAAGAUGAUACGUAAUGCCCAAAAGGAAAAGCUCCUAACUGGGCUUGCCCCUGACUUGAUUGAAGGGGGAGUAGCUAUCCUGCAGUAUGCAGAUGACACUGUCAUUUGUUUUGAACAUGAUAAGAAUGCUGCUGUAAACCUGAAACUGCUUCUAUACAUGUUCGAACUUAUGUCUAGUUUAAAAAUCAACUUCCUUAAAAGUGAGGUCCUCUGUGUUGGGGGGGAUGAGGACACGCUGGCCUUUUAUGUGGAACUGUUCAAUUGUAAUAUUGGACACUUUCCUAUGAAAUACCUAUGA